This 77-nucleotide small RNA is filed under the name Xanthomonas vasicola. RNAcentral's name for it is "sX9 sRNA". The stretch from base 1 to 66 matches the Rfam family "Xanthomonas sRNA sX9". The record is from RNAcentral. Lineage: Bacteria; Pseudomonadati; Pseudomonadota; Gammaproteobacteria; Lysobacterales; Lysobacteraceae.
AUGUACCACUCGUACACUGCGGUUCCUGCGCGCCGUCCGCGCCCACCUGACGGCUGCUCGCGAGCACAUCGAAGGUA